GACGAACGCUGGCGGCGUGCUUAACACAUGCAAGUCGAACGGAAAGGCCCUGCGUUUGUGGGGUGCUCGAUUGGCGAACGCGUGAGUAACACGUGAGUAACCUGCCCCUGACUUUGGGAUAACUUCACGAAACAGGGGCGAAUAUCGCAGAGGAUAUCUUGCUGCACGGGGGGCGUUGGAAAGAGUCGGCGGUUGGGGAUGGACUCGCUGCUUAUCAGCUUGUUGGUGUGGUAGUGGCGUACCAAGGCUUUGACGGGUAGCCGGCCUGAGAGGGUGACCGGCCACAUUGGGACUGAGAUACGGCCCAGACUCCUACGGGAGGCAGCAGUGGGGAAUAUUGCACAAUGGGCGGAAGCCUGAUGCAGCAACGCCGCGUGCGGGAUGACGGCCUUCGGGUUGUAAACCGCUUUCGAAUGUGCCGAAGAGUGCGUGACGGUAAUGGGUCAAGAAGCACCGGCUAACUACGUG
Molecule: ribosomal RNA, 468 nt
Filed under: uncultured bacterium
Lineage: Bacteria
Description: partial 16S ribosomal RNA
Rfam family: Bacterial small subunit ribosomal RNA
Source: RNAcentral